UACGUAGGGGGCAAGCGUUGUCCGGAUUUAUUGGGCGUAAAGAGCGUGUAGGCGGCUUGGUAGGUCCGCUGUGAAAACUCGAGGCUCAACCUCGAGAUGUCGGCGGAAACCACUUGGCUAGAGUCCGGAAGAGGAGAGUGGAAUUCCUGGUGUAGCGGUGAAAUGCGCAGAUAUCAGGAAGAACACCGAUGGCGAAGGCAGCUCUCUGGGACGGUACUGACGCUGAGACGCGAAAGCGUGGGGAGCAAACGGG
Molecule: ribosomal RNA, 253 nt
Filed under: uncultured bacterium
Lineage: Bacteria
Description: partial 16S ribosomal RNA
Rfam family: Bacterial small subunit ribosomal RNA
Source: RNAcentral